AACGACGUAGUUUAAUAAAAACCUAUCCUUUGCGUGGAUUCAAUGGGAGUUUCGACCUCUUCGUUGUUA
RNAcentral lists this transfer RNA (69 nucleotides) under Cichlidogyrus halli. RNAcentral's name for it is "tRNA-Ala". The record is from RNAcentral. Lineage: Eukaryota; Metazoa; Platyhelminthes; Monogenea; Dactylogyridea; Ancyrocephalidae.